GUGGGGAAUUUUGGACAAUGGGGGCAACCCUGAUCCAGCAAUGCCGCGUGCAGGAAGAAGGCCUUCGGGUUGUAAACUGCUUUUGUACGGAACGAAACGGUCCUGGUUAAUACCUGGGGCUAAUGACGGUACCGUAAGAAUAAGCACCGGCUAACUACGUGCCAGCAGCCGCGGUAAUACGUAGGGUGCAAGCGUUAAUCGGAAUUACUGGGCGUAAAGCGUGCGCAGGCGGUUUUGUAAGACAGGCGUGAAAUCCCCGGGCUCAACCUGGGAAUGGCGCUUGUGACUGCAAGGCUGGAGUGCGGAAGAGGGGGAUGGAAUUCCGCGUGUAGCAGUGAAAUGCGUAGAUAUGCGGAGGAACACCGAUGGCGAAGGCAAUCCCCUGGGCCUGCACUGACGCUCAUGCACGAAAGCGUGGGGAGCAAACAGGAUUAGAUACCCGUGUAGUCC
Molecule: ribosomal RNA, 450 nt
Filed under: uncultured bacterium
Lineage: Bacteria
Description: partial 16S ribosomal RNA
Rfam family: Bacterial small subunit ribosomal RNA
Source: RNAcentral